Molecule: ribosomal RNA, 467 nt
Filed under: uncultured bacterium
Lineage: Bacteria
Description: partial 16S ribosomal RNA
Rfam family: Bacterial small subunit ribosomal RNA
Source: RNAcentral
GACGAACGCUGGCGGCGUGCUUAACACAUGCCAGUCGAACGGAAAGGCCCUGCUUUUGUGGGGUGCUCGAGUGGCGAACGGGUGAGUAACACGUGAGUAACCUGCCCUUGACUUUGGGAUAACUUCAGGAAACUGGGGCUAAUACCGGAUAGGAGCUCCUGCUGCAUGGUGGGGGUUGAAAGUUUCGGCGGUUGGGGAUGGACUCGCGGCUUAUCAGCUUGUUGGUGGGGUAGUGGCUUACCAAGGCUUUGACGGGUAGCCGGCCUGAGAGGGUGACCGGCCACAUUGGGACUGAGAUACGGCCCAGACUCCUACGGGAGGCAGCAGUGGGGAAUAUUGCACAAUGGGCGGAAGCCUGAUGCAGCAACGCCGCGUGCGGGAUGACGGCCUUCGGGUUGUAAACCGCUUUCGCCUGUGACGAAGCGUGAGUGACGGUAAUGGGUAAAGAAGCACCGGCUAACUACGUG